This 379-nucleotide unclassified non-coding RNA is filed under the name Sporobolomyces sp. RNAcentral's name for it is "partial contains 5.8S ribosomal RNA, internal transcribed spacer 2, and large subunit ribosomal RNA". The record is from RNAcentral. Lineage: Eukaryota; Fungi; Basidiomycota; Microbotryomycetes; Sporidiobolales; Sporidiobolaceae.
CGCAUCUUGCGCUCUUGGGUAUUCCUAAGAGCAUGUCUGUUUGAGUGUCGCCAUAAUCAUCAACGCUCCCUCUUUGUUAAUUCAAAGAGUGUGUCUUUUGUUUCGAUAUUACCAAUUUUUGGCAAUUAGAAACAAAAUGAUAUUAGGGUGUUGGAGUUUGAUGUCUUUCUCGUUCUGGAAAAAAGAACAAGAUACAUCGAAAUGCAGAUUAGGGUUACAUGUUGAGAAAACUAUCGAGUGUAACGAUUCGCUUUGCGUAAUAAUUAUUUCGCUUGGCACAGUUCACUUGAAUAAAGUCUUCACACAAAGCUUAAUCCUCCGAAUCAUAAAUUUUUAAAUUUUUGACCUCAAAUCAGUCAGGACUACCCGCUGAACUUAA